Transfer RNA from Camelus ferus (Wild Bactrian camel), 69 nucleotides. It matches the Rfam family "tRNA". Rfam says of the family: Transfer RNA (tRNA) molecules are approximately 80 nucleotides in length. Their secondary structure includes four short double-helical elements and three loops (D, anti-codon, and T loops). NCBI's taxonomy places the organism in Eukaryota, Metazoa, Chordata, Mammalia, Artiodactyla, Camelidae. The record is from Rfam.
GAGGAUAUAGCUUAAUGGUAGUGUGUGCUUAGCAUGCAUAAGGUCCUGGAUUCAAUCCUGGUAUCUCCG